Molecule: ribosomal RNA, 376 nt
Filed under: uncultured bacterium
Lineage: Bacteria
Description: bacterial SSU rRNA
Rfam family: Bacterial small subunit ribosomal RNA
Source: RNAcentral
UAAUACGAAGGGGGCUAGCGUUGUUCGGAAUUACUGGGCGUAAAGGGCGCGCAGGCGGCUCUUGAAGUCAGGCGUGAAAGCCCCGGGCUCAACCUGGGAAUAGCGCUUGAUACUCGAGAGCUUGAGUUCGGGAGAGGAGAGUGGAAUUCCCAGUGUAGAGGUGAAAUUCGUAGAUAUUGGGAAGAACACCGGUGGCGAAGGCGGCUCUCUGGACCGAUACUGACGCUGAGGCGCGAAAGCGUGGGGAGCAAACAGGAUUAGAUACCCUGGUAGUCCACGCCGUAAACGAUGUGUGCUAGACGUUGGGGGGCCUAGCCCUCCGGUGUCGCAGCUAACGCUUUAAGCACACCGCCUGGGGAGUACGGCCGCAAGGUUA